AAAGUUAAUACCUUUGCUCAUUGACGUUACCCGCAGAAGAAGCACCGGCUAACUCCGUGCCAGCAGCCGCGGUAAUACGGAGGGUGCAAGCGUUAAUCGGAAUUACUGGGCGUAAAGCGCACGCAGGCGGUUUGUUAAGUCAGAUGUGAAAUCCCCGGGCUCAACCUGGGAACUGCAUCUGAUACUGGCAAGCUUGAGUCUCGUAGAGGGGGGUAGAAUUCCAGGUGUAACGGUGAAAUGCGUACACAUCUGGAGGAAUACCGGUGCCCAAAGGGCC
RNAcentral lists this ribosomal RNA (277 nucleotides) under Escherichia coli. RNAcentral describes it as "partial 16S ribosomal RNA". It matches the Rfam family "Bacterial small subunit ribosomal RNA", at positions 452 to 725 of the family's 1533-position model. Lineage: Bacteria; Pseudomonadati; Pseudomonadota; Gammaproteobacteria; Enterobacterales; Enterobacteriaceae. The record is from RNAcentral.